Molecule: long non-coding RNA, 982 nt
Organism: Cyprinus carpio carpio
Lineage: Eukaryota; Metazoa; Chordata; Actinopteri; Cypriniformes; Cyprinidae
Source: Ensembl
AGGGGCUGGCUAUGCUUGGACUAAGCCACACCCCUUCUCAACUUCCACCUCGAGGAGGUCCCCAAAGCCAACCCAAUGGCCAAACAACACGAGAACAAAUGGGCUAUGGCCGGGAAGAGGUCAGGGAGCAAGGGGGCCACGGGGAUCCGGGGCGUGGGACUCGGGCCCCGGCCUGAGUCUUAGGUAUCCGUAGCGCCCUCCUUCUUCCUCCUCUUCGCUGAAUACAGCUCACGGUAAGUACUGGUUCACACAGUUCGUUCUCGGGGUGCUCACUCUCUUUCUCUUCCUCCACAGGCAACGGCUGGGACACACAGGCACAGUUAGUUCAGCUUGGUUUUGCUCUCACCUCUUCGCUGAUUACAGCUCACAGUAAGUACUGGUUCACACAGUUCGUUCCUUGGGUGCUCACUCGCUUUCUCUUUCUCCACAGGCAGCGGCGUAAGUACAGGUUUCCUCGGUCUCUCCUCGUGUUACCCACUCUCUCUCCUUUUCUCUCCACAGGUAUCAACUUGGGCACAAUAGCACAGUUAGUUUGCUUUGAAUGGCUCUCACCUCUGGGCUGGACACAGCGUACUGUAAGUACAGGGUUCGCUCUAUUCCUCCUCGUGUUAUUCACUCUCUCUCCUUUUCUCUCCACAGGUAUCAACUUGGGCACAAUAGCACAGUUACUCUGCUUUGGAUGGCUUUCACCUCUGGGCUGGACACAGCGUACUGUGCUAUCUCCGGAGAUCUGAAGCACGCUCACAACAUAUACUGUACUGAACUAGGCUAGGACCAGCAGUCUCCUUGUCCUCCCGCGACGAAGUGCGUGAAGGCGGGGGUUUAUCUGACAGGACACACGGCAAUACACAGCAGCCCACAGCAAUAUACAGCACCACGUCAAAAUUAUAGGUUUUCACAGCAUGAAGACUCACCCACCACACUCAGUGUACGAAAAGGACACCCGUCUUCCUUCACUUCGCUUGGUUCGGAUCUGGCGAUG